AAUGAACGCUGGCGGCGCGCCUAAUACAUGCAAGUCGAGCGAGAAGACGUAGCAAUACGUUUGUAAAGCGGCGAACGGGUGAGGAAUACAUGGGUAACCUACCCUCGAGUGGGGAAUAACUAGCCGAAAGGUUAGCUAAUACCGCGUACGCUUCUUGGACUUCGGUUCAGGGAGGAAAGCGAUGCCGAGGGUAUCGCGCUCUUGGAUGGGCUCAUGUCCUAUCAGCUUGUUGGNGAGGUAACGGCUCACCAAGGCUUCGACGGGUAGCUGGUCUGAGAGGACGAUCAGCCACACUGGCACUGCGACACGGGCCAGACUCCUACGGGAGGCAGCAGUAAGGAAUAUUGCGCAAUGGGCGAAAGCCUGACGCAGCGACGCCGCG
This 382-nucleotide ribosomal RNA is filed under the name uncultured bacterium. RNAcentral's name for it is "bacterial SSU rRNA". It matches the Rfam family "Bacterial small subunit ribosomal RNA", at positions 29 to 401 of the family's 1533-position model. The record is from RNAcentral.